CAAUAGCGUAUAUUUAAGUUGUUGCAGUUAAAAAGCUCGUAGUUGGAUUUCGGGUUGGCUUCAGCGGUCUCGCUUUGCGUUCGUACUGCCGCAGCCUUCCUUCUUGCUGGGGACGGUCCUCCGGGCUUCAUUGCUUGGGGUCUGGAAUCAGCGACGUUACUUUGAGUAAAUUAGAGUGUUCAAAGCAAGCCUACGCUCUGAAUAUAAUAGCAUGGGAUAACACGACAGGACUCUGGCCUAUCGUGUUGGUCUGUAGGACCAGAGUAAUGAUUAAGAGGGACAGUCGGGGGCAUUCGUAUUCCGUUGUCAGAGGUGAAAUUCUUGGAUUUACGGAAGACGAACAUCUGCGAAAGCAUUUGCCAAGGAUGUUUUCAUUGA
This 378-nucleotide ribosomal RNA is filed under the name uncultured eukaryote. RNAcentral describes it as "partial 18S ribosomal RNA". It matches the Rfam family "Eukaryotic small subunit ribosomal RNA", at positions 592 to 976 of the family's 1831-position model. The record is from RNAcentral.